Molecule: unclassified non-coding RNA, 189 nt
Filed under: soil metagenome
Description: partial internal transcribed spacer 1
Source: RNAcentral
CACAAUAAAAUAUGAAGGCUGUACGCGGCUGUGCUCUCGGGCCAGUUUUGCGGAGGCUGAAUUAUUUAUUACCCUUGUCUUUUGCGCACUUGUUGUUUCCUGGGCGGGUUCGCCCGCCACCAGGACCACAUCAUAAACCUUUUUUAUGCAGUUGCAAUCAGCGUCAGUAUAACAAAUGCAAAUCAUUUA